CAAAGGCUUGGUCCUGACUUUACUAUCAGCUUUAACU
This 37-nucleotide ribosomal RNA is filed under the name Salvelinus malma malma. RNAcentral describes it as "partial 12S ribosomal RNA". Lineage: Eukaryota; Metazoa; Chordata; Actinopteri; Salmoniformes; Salmonidae. The record is from RNAcentral.